This 82-nucleotide transfer RNA is filed under the name Laurencieae sp. Its description in RNAcentral is "tRNA-Tyr". It matches the Rfam family "tRNA". Rfam says of the family: Transfer RNA (tRNA) molecules are approximately 80 nucleotides in length. Their secondary structure includes four short double-helical elements and three loops (D, anti-codon, and T loops). Lineage: Eukaryota; Rhodophyta; Florideophyceae; Ceramiales; Rhodomelaceae. The record is from RNAcentral.
GGGUCGGUGCCCGAGUGGUUAAUGGGGGUGGACUGUAAAUCCACUGGCUAUGCCUACGUUGGUUCAAAUCCAACCCGGCCCA